UGGGGAGUACGGCCGCAAGGCUAAAACUCAAAGGAAUUGACGGGGGCCCGCACAAGCGGCGGAGCAUGCGGAUUAAUUCGAUGCAACGCGAAGAACCUUACCAAGGCUUGACAUAUACGAGAACGGGCCAGAAAUGGUCAACUCUUUGGACACUCGUAAACAGGUGGUGCAUGGUUGUCGUCAGCUCGUGUCGUGAGAUGUUGGGUUAAGUCCCGCAACGAGCGCAACCCUCGUUCUAUGUUGCCAGCACGUUAUGGUGGGAACUCAUAGGAGACUGCCGGGGUCAACUCGGAGGAAGGUGGGGAUGACGUCAAAUCAUCAUGCCCCUUAUGUCUUGGGCUUCACGCAUGCUACAAUGGCCGGUACAAAGGGCUGCAAUACCGUAAGGUGGAGCGAAUCCCAAAAAGCCGGUCUCAGUUCGGAUUGAGGUCUGCAACUCGACCUCAUGAAGUCGGAGUCGCUAGUAAUCGCAGAUCAGCAACGCUGCGGUGAAUACGUUCCCGGGCCUUGUACACACCGCCCGUCAAGUCAUGAAAGUCGGUAACACCCAACGCCAGUGGCCUAACCUUCGGGAGGGAGCUGUCUAAGGUGGGAUCGGUGAUUA
This 604-nucleotide ribosomal RNA is filed under the name Microbacteriaceae bacterium RM12EL_13E. RNAcentral's name for it is "bacterial SSU rRNA". It matches the Rfam family "Bacterial small subunit ribosomal RNA", at positions 874 to 1477 of the family's 1533-position model. RNAcentral also lists the same sequence under 1 other name. The record is from RNAcentral. Lineage: Bacteria; Bacillati; Actinomycetota; Actinomycetes; Micrococcales; Microbacteriaceae.